RNAcentral lists this ribosomal RNA (518 nucleotides) under uncultured Glomus. Its description in RNAcentral is "SSU rRNA". It matches the Rfam family "Eukaryotic small subunit ribosomal RNA", at positions 569 to 1092 of the family's 1831-position model. The record is from RNAcentral. Lineage: Eukaryota; Fungi; Glomeromycota; Glomeromycetes; Glomerales; Glomeraceae.
AGCAGCCGCGGUAAUUCCAGCUCCAAUAGCGUAUAUUAAAGUUGUUGCAGUUAAAAGCUCGUAGUUGAAUUUCGGGGUCAGUAGGUUGGUCGUGCCAAUGGUAUGUACUGGCUUUACUGAUUCCUCCUUCUUGAAGAACUGUAAUGCCAUUAAUUUGGUGUUGCAGGGAAUCAGGACUGUUACUUUGAAAAAUUAGAGUGUUUAAAGCAGGCUUACGCUUGAAUACAUUAGCAUGGAAUAAUGAAAUAGGACGUUGAUCUUAUUUUGUUGGUUUCUAGGAUUGACGUAAUGAUUAAUAGGGAUAGUUGGGGGCAUUAGUAUUCAAUUGUCAGAGGUGAAAUUCUUGGAUUUAUUGAAGACUAACUACUGCGAAAGCAUUUGCCAAGGAUGUUUUCAUUAAUCAAGAACGAAAGUUAGGGGAUCGAAGACGAUCAGAUACCGUCGUAGUCUUAACCAUAAACUAUGCCGACUAGGGAUCGGAUGAUGUUAAUUUUUAAUGACUCAUUCGGCGCCUUAAC